Molecule: ribosomal RNA, 498 nt
Filed under: uncultured bacterium
Lineage: Bacteria
Description: bacterial SSU rRNA
Rfam family: Bacterial small subunit ribosomal RNA
Source: RNAcentral
UCAGGACUGAACGCUAGCGACAGGCCUAACACAUGCAAGUCAGGGGCAGCACAGGAGCAAUCUGAGUGGCGACCGGCGCACGGGUGAGUAACACGUAUGCAACCUGCCUGUAAGCGGGGAAUAACCCGUUGAAAGACGGACUAAUACCGCAUAAUACUAAAUUACUGCAUGGUAAUUUAUUUAAACAUUUAUGGCUUACAGAUGGGCAUGCGCAUGAUUAGCUAGUUGGAGAGGUAACGGCUCCCCAAGGCAACGAUCAUUAGGGGUCUGAGAGGAAGGUCCCCCCACACUGGUACUGAGACACGGACCAGACUCCUACGGGAGGCAGCAGUGAGGAAUAUUGGUCAAUGGACGAGAGUCUGAACCAGCCAAGUCGCGUGCAGGAAGAAUUGUCCUAUGGAUUGUAAACUGCUUUUGCAGGGGAAUAAAGUGCAUCACGUGUGAUGUUUUGUAUGUACUCUGCGAAUAAGGAUCGGCUAACUCCGUGCCAGCCGCCGC